AUCUAAAGGAAAUGCUGAAUAUAACAAAACUGCAACAGUGAAUAACAUUUUCUGAAUGAAACCAAAGCAUUUCCUUUUAGCUCUGUUCAGUACCGAUGUAUGUCUCCCUGACAUGAUCUUGAUACCUCACAAAAGCUGGAGAUUAGAUGUUUUCCAUUAUUAAUUUUUUGCUAUGGACAGAUUUUCUGAGUGUGCCACAAGGUAUACAUCACCCAUCAUACGAAUCCCCAGGAGAAUUUGGAAACAAGAGUGCCAUUAAAUGGAAGAUUGUCAGAGAGAACCAUACAAUUUGUGUCACUGGUCUGCCGAAGAGGUUCUUCCCCGAAGAGUAACGGGAAUUUUUCAGAGUCCUGCAUCAAAUUGGCAAUAAUAUUAAAUGGCAAGUGUUGCAUGAUUACAUCAGCACUUCUCAUAUUUUCUCUCCAGCACCCCAGUAUACUGAAUUAAUUCUGUAUGUCCCUUGGGUUGGAGGCAGAAAAUAGCAAGAAAAAUGCAAAAUAAUAUGCCACCAUUUUUAGAGGAG
Molecule: long non-coding RNA, 523 nt
Filed under: Parus major (Great Tit)
Lineage: Eukaryota; Metazoa; Chordata; Aves; Passeriformes; Paridae
Description: lncRNA (ENSPMJG00000011660.1)
Source: RNAcentral